GCCAUAGGAACUGACAUUUUCAACUGAAUUUUAAUAUUUUCAUAUCUAAAUAGAUCCUUAUUGGUUGAAAGACCUUCAAUUGUUCUUUGAACAAUUGGUUUUUAAUUAUUAUUAUUAUUUUUAUUUUUUUUCUUCCGCCAACUUUUUUUUCCUUCGCUGUUUUUUUGUUUCACAAGAUGUCGCUUAGAUAUUUGGUAUAUGAUAUCGAACAGUUAAUGCGCUUCUGAAACUGACACCGCGUAACAAAAAACUUUACCUUGUAAGAGUUAUCUCCCCGAACACUGUUUUUCUUGUGGCCUCUAAGGCUUCGCAACCGUAUAAGAAACCGACAAAUUUAUUUUUCCAAAUUGCUCGUUAUAUCCUCAGGAUGUUCUGUUUCAUUUUGACCGAAGCUAUCCGGAGACUCCAUAUGAGAGUUAUCCCCCCUUUUAUAUAUGAUAUAAGUGAUAUGCAUUUCUAACUGGUAAACCAUAAGUGAUAGAGACCUAGGGUCUUUUGAUUUAAGAUCCUUGGUCCAAAAAAAUGAAAAUUAGGUCAAGGUCAAAGGUCAAGGUCAAAUUUUAAAUUUUGAUUUUGGCUUAUUUUCACUUAUUUUCAUUAACCUUAUAAGAUUUCGACAAAUUAUUUUUACUAAAUUGUUAGUUGCG
This 647-nucleotide long non-coding RNA is filed under the name Mytilus galloprovincialis (Mediterranean mussel). Lineage: Eukaryota; Metazoa; Mollusca; Bivalvia; Mytilida; Mytilidae. The record is from RNAcentral.